This is a small nucleolar RNA of Otolemur garnettii (small-eared galago), 94 nucleotides long. NCBI's taxonomy places the organism in Eukaryota, Metazoa, Chordata, Mammalia, Primates, Galagidae. The record is from Ensembl.
AUCCGUUUGUGGUUCAUAAGCGUGAUGAUUGGGUUUUCACGCUCUUGUGUGAGAUGUGCCUCCCUUGUUGUGACAGUAAAUUACCCAUCUGAUG